RNAcentral lists this unclassified non-coding RNA (194 nucleotides) under plant metagenome. RNAcentral's name for it is "partial contains small subunit ribosomal RNA, internal transcribed spacer 1, and 5.8S ribosomal RNA". The stretch from base 1 to 53 matches the Rfam family "Eukaryotic small subunit ribosomal RNA", at positions 1778 to 1831 of the family's 1831-position model. The record is from RNAcentral.
GGAAGUAAAGUCGUAACAAGGUUUCCGUAGGUGAACCUGCGGAAGGAUCAUUGCUAAAAUACAAUUUUAUCCAUAAACCCCAAAACCUUUCUGUGUGAACUAUUUUUUAUAAAAACACCAUAUCCAAUUUUUAGUCUAAAUCAUAUUUUUUAAUGAAAAAAAAACAACUUUUAACAACGGAUCUCUUGGCUCUC